RNAcentral lists this microRNA precursor (102 nucleotides) under Marmota monax (woodchuck). The record is from RNAcentral. Lineage: Eukaryota; Metazoa; Chordata; Mammalia; Rodentia; Sciuridae.
AGUGGGAUAACUGGAUCAGAUGGUGGUUCCAUUCCAAUUUUCUGAGGAAUUUCCAUACUGCUUUCCAGAGUGGUUGUACCAGUUUGCAGUCCCACUAGCAAA